Tinamus guttatus (white-throated tinamou) is the source of this 119-nucleotide non-coding RNA. The record is from RefSeq and is a predicted model, not a curated record. Lineage: Eukaryota; Metazoa; Chordata; Aves; Tinamiformes; Tinamidae.
GUGAUUGGAUUCUGUUGUACUGUAGACAUAGGAAGAAUAAUCUGUGCUCAUAAUAUCUGUGAAAUUGGCCUGCUGGAAGAUAGAGUUGGAAUGGAGCUGCUAUGGUUUUUUGGGGAUUU